UAAGAUUCUAUUGAGCUCUUCAGUCUUGAGGAAAUCACAGUUUUCUACGAAUCUGAAUCAUAGUGGGUCUUCUGAUGGCUUCAAAGCUAGCAAGGCUGCAUGCACGAGCGUGCGUGCGUGCGUGCUUGAAAAGCUGUUCCAUUUUCAUAGGAUAAGAUGAAGUACAAACAGCAAAACCAGCACAUGUCAAUGAGACUAUUAUAGAAGAAUCUCUUUUGUAUGUAGAAAUACAAAUGAAAAUAAUAGGCUACAAACUCAGGCUUUCAAGUACAUCAAGUAUGGUCCACACUGUUUAUCUCUAAGAGAUCCACAAAAUUUUUCACUAGUGCUUUUCAAUAAUUCUUUUGAAACUUUUACUUUUUUAUGCAUAUACUUUCAGUAUUAACAUCCCCAAAUGGAACGUUUUUGUGGGUGUUUGGGGCCCAAACAGUGCAAUUUAAACUAGUCUUCUACCCACCUGCCUUCAAUCACGUCUUCCUUUUGACCUCUUUUCCCUCCACCAUUCCUCCCUCACAUAUGUAAUAAUAGAGCUGAAUCUGUGAAGAACUGUGAGUUCUCUGGUACAGUCGGUUCUGUUAUUCAAGUAAUAUCUUCAAAUUACAUAGAAGUGGAAAUUAAAAAAAAAUCCCUGCUGUGGAGCUUGCCUUCACUCUAAGACUGUCUCUGAGCUCACAAAGCAUGGGACAUACUGGGAUGAUGCUGGUGGGAUUCUCCUCAGACACAAUGCUCUCAGCCACCUAGAGCCCAAACAUACUCGGUUAACAUUGGUCCAAGUACUUCAUUGUUAGACCCUCAAUUUAGUGUACAUAGACAGAAUACAUAGAUGGCUUCCAUGAUGUGGUAUAAGACAUAUUUCUUGGGUGACACCUGAAUUAACAGAGUCCACUCUCCCCCUUCCCUGCUUAGAUAGCCUUGGAUCAUGAGAGAUGAAUCCAUCAGACACCUCCAAGGCCAGAGAAGAAGACUCUUUGGUUUCUGAUAGGCAUAGCUGUUAGAAUACUAUCUUGUAUAUUUGAGGCAAAACUCUGAGUCUUCAAGACCCAUUUCCAAUCCCCAAUUCUCUUCUCUAGAGUCUAUCCUUCUGUUUGAAGUUCUGUACAUAAAAAUAUUCACAUUUAUUCUAUCUGGUGCUAAAAGUGGCAUAGGCAGAGGAUCAGUUUGGGCUGUCUCCUUUUAUGUCUUGGGGGAUACCCAACUAGUGCACAGAUAAGCAUUGGAAAAGCCAGGAAAAGCUAAAUAUGAAGUUCAUCCUUCUAAAGUGGGAAGGUAUUUGGCUGUUCUCUCGGAAUGACAGGGGUGGGGCGUGGGGGGAGAAUGUAGUUUCUAACCAACUUGGCAAUCAUUUGCCACCAGUUUGAGCCAGGCUUCAGCAAUAUCCCCUGGAAUGUUUGUCCAGAAUCCCCCUCUCCACAAAACCUCGAUCAUUGCUUCUAGGCCACAAAACUCAUCUGUGUGAGGGGCACACUUGUGCUUUACAACAGCUUAGUACUUUCUAUGUUAUCUUAGGGACAGACACUAUACCUCAGUCAUUCUUCCUCCAAUGUUUUUUUGUUUUUGUUUUUGUUUUUGUUUUUGUUUUGUUUGAGCAUUGUUUCUAAGUCAACAGAACCCAUCUUUAUGGGUAAAGCCAGAUACAUUUUGUAAAGCACUUCAAAGGAAACAUGCCUUAAGCUUUGCUGUAUUGAUGUGAUUGAGUCAAUUGUAAUUAUAAAACUUUUUUUCCAAAAUUAUGCUGUGCUGCAUAUUUUUAAAAUAAAUGAACUGAUGUCAGAUUCUUGAAGUUUUGGCCUAGCACCGGUACCUAAGUUGGGCUAAACUGAGUUUCUUUCCUGUCUCUUUGUGAAGCAUUUCUCUGCUUUCCAAAAAGUCUAAAGACUCCCCACAUACCAAUCUUGGGUCUUAUGACUUUAAGUGCUAUCUAUAUCCUCACAACACAUGUGACUCCAUCAUUCCUGAUCUUCAUACUCACGUCCUCUUCUCUCAGACACCACACAGCCAUCUCCAGAUUCCUAAGCCUGCUGCUCCAAAUGGCCAUCUCACUCAGGACAACUGUUAAUGGCAUUCUUCUAGUGUUAAGUCUUUCCUCCUCACCACUCUCUAACCAGCCACCCUCCUUGUUGACUUGAAAGAAGACGUCUGUGCUUUAAAGCUCUGGGCAAGCAUUACUCGGUUUGUUCCACUUUCACUCUAGGUAGUUAUUUUCCAUGAAUGAAUAUAUUGCCUUUAAAGAAACUAUACUAGCUGUUUCUAUUUUAGCGUAUCAAACUUACUUUCUCACGUACCAUGCCCCUAUAUCUUCCAUAUUAUGAGUAUUUAUGUUCAAGAAAUGUAGACAAUUGAUUAGCUUUCUUUGCUGAUAGCUACAGGACUCUCAUUGGUUAGCUUCUCCACUGGGAUGUUCUUUCCCCAGGGUCUCCAUUGUUAGCUCUCUCUUACACCUUUCAAGUAUUUAUUCACAUAUUUGAUUCUUACAUGUGCCCAGCCUUACAUAUUCCCAAUACCAUUUUUCAUUACCAGUUCAUCUGAUAAAGAUGUUCUGGGACAUAUCCCACCUCAGGGAGAAGGAAGGCUACGGUCAGAGGAGAGGUGUAUUUGUGUACACUCUCCAACCUGCUUAUUGCAUCCUUGGUCUUCCUUUCUCUCUCCCUCCCACUGAUCAUGGGAACUCUAGCAUGACCCAUAGCCAGUGCAGUAGAAAGCAAUAAGCGGCACAAAUGAGAGUUUACUGUGUGCUUAACUCAUUUUGAUUUUUAAAGAUUCCAUUGUAAAAUAGAAGUCAUCUCUGUGUUUGAUUAAUACUUGGGUGAGAUUGUUCCUUACUUGGUGACAUGGCCAGUGUCACUUAGAUCCUUCAAUUUCAGUGUAGGUAGUUAUUUUUCAUGAAUGAAAAUACUGUCUUUAAAGAAACUAUACUAGCUGUUUCUAUUUUAGGUUAUCAAACUUAUUUUCUUAACAAUAACAUCCCUGUAUCGUCCAUAUUAGUGAGUAUAUACAGUAAAGAAAUAUAGACAAUUGGUUAACUUUCUUUGGCGAUAGCUGCAGGACUCUCAUUGGUUAGCUUCCUUUGGUGAUAGCUACGAGACUCUUUCCUGAUGCACUGUAGAUGAUUUACAAAUUGUAUUGAGCUUUGGCAGAGUGAACUUUCUAGGUUAUUUUUCAAGGGGCUAUGUAAAAUUGUCAAAGAAGUUUUUAAAAAAUUAAAAAGUAGCAAUGUGGCUAUUUCAUGGACUUAUCAUGCUAUGCAUGGACCAGAGCUGAAGACAGAGAGUGUUCUGUCACACCUAUCAAGUGACAUCUUUUAAAUUGUAACCUUUCUCAGUGCUGGGAAUCAAACCCAGUGCUUUACCUACGCUAGGAAAGUUAUGUAUCGCCAAGCUACAUCCUCAGCUCCAAGGAACGGUGUCUACAAAGCACACUGAAGCAUCAGGCUUACCUGAUUAUUCAAACAAGCCCUCUAAGCGAUGAAGCAAGAUGAAGAGAUGCCUCUUCUUCAGAAGGUAUCAGUUUUAGGUCCUCAAACGUGAUAGUGUGUGUGCGCGUUUCAUUGUACACACAAAUGUACAAAGGAAAGUAAACCACUCUGCUUUUAAACUUGUUAAAAUAUUAAACUACAAUUUAACCAUUUUUUUUUCCUUCAGGCUGUAAAAAAUAUCAGAAACCUAUACUCCUAAGAGUUAUUCAAACAGGCAUGAAUUCCUUGGAACAGCCUGUCAGGACCCAGUGUUCUCUUUUAAAAGCUCACUGACUCCUAUAAGCCAAGACCGGUGUAUGCUAGAACACAAUGGUGUUGGUGGGACAGAUAUUAAGCCUGUUUUUGUGAGCCAACCUACUUCCUAGUCUGCUGGCAUCCUGUUUUAUGCGCAGCCAUAGCCAACUUUGUAGGAAAAGCUUUCUAUAUAACACCAUGUUUACCUAGUUAAAAAAACAACAAAACAAAACACAAACAAACAAACAAAAAACAAAAAACAUGGCAGUACAAUCUUUAUUUGGAAAUCUAACUGGGUCUUCGAAAGGUUUUACAAGAUUUCUCUACCGUUUACUUUUAUAGUUUAACUUGUAAAAGUCUAUUCUGCAUUCCCAGAACUGACUAUUCAUAUCCAGAAAACUUGAAACUCUUGAUAAUUAUCACAAAGCAAAAAGUCCAAAGAUCAGUGCUUGUUAAAGAGAAAAAGUAAAUCAAACGAAAGAGUUCUUCCAGAAAUGAUGUUUUUCCAAAGGCCUCAGACCAAAUUCUCAAAUAAUAGCACUUACUAAAGUAAGAUAGAGAAGUUGUAAGAUCUGAUUAAAGAGGUUAAUAUUUUUGUAUUAACAGUUAAGUGGUGAUAAAAUGGUUAAUUCCAUUUUUUUCAGUGCUGGGGAUUGAAACCAUAGCCUUGCACGAACUAGACAUACAUUAAUGUAGAUGGGAAGUAAGCCCGUGUGUCCUGCCCCAAGGGUCAGAUUAAUGCUAGGCCUUCCUCGGUUGGGGAUUUUUUUUUUUCAGAGCACGAAGCAGAAGGUAAGGAACUCUUGUUUAUAUGGUGUCCAUGCAUUCAUUACGCCUCUCACACGCCAUUGGUUGAAGACGUGCAUUUAGCCACCUACAUUUACAAGUACUGAUCUUUUUUUGAUAACACGUUCACUUGUGGUAAUGCAAAACAAGGAUUGAAUGUAGUGUGCCACAAUGUAGAGGGCAUUUCUAAUGUCAAGACAGUCAUAGUUGGAAUGUAUGGUAUAAUUAAUAGUCCUCUAUAUACAGCAGCUCCCAGAAUAUUAUUUACAGGAAUAGGUGUCUCUGGAGUUGCCAAUAGCUUUACAUAUAGUAGCAGCUCAUUCAUUAGUUGUUCAUAAUUAGCUCCAUUUUGGUUUAAAUAGAAGCACAACACACACUAGCCAGUACUCAAGCCUGCAAAUGGGAAAACAUUGCUAUGCUCAUGGGAUAAGCAUGUGGGACGUUUUUAUGUAUUAAUAUUUCAACUGAAUUAUGCCAACAGGGCUGUCUCAGAAAAUAAUGAGAGCCUGGCAAAUGUUGAAAGAAAAUAAAUUCUUAACAGCUUCUGGGCUCUGAAAAUAGAAUUUGAAUAAGGACAGAAGUGCAAAUAUAAAAUAUGAAUAUACAUGGCUUAAUUAACUAAGCUUAUGAAUAAAUUAGGUGAUUGAUAUCAGACAGAAAUACCCUUUUACUUAGCCCACUGCCACAUUGGUCUCUUCCAUACUUUUAAUCCCCUCUUUUUGUGAUUGGCAUGAUAGUUAAUAUCACAUAAAUUACAUUGUAGCAUGUUUAUCAAGCACUAAGACUUCAUAUAACAUAUAUUGAUACCUAUGCUUGUUUUUUUCUCCACUGAAGAGGUAUUGAGAAGGUGCUAAAAACUUAAUAGGCCACUUCAGAAUGCUAGUCAUUGGUUUCCUUUGUCUGGGGCAUAAAUCAAUAUUUUCCAGCCUGGAAUUUUGUUUUGAACAUGUACAUUUCUUAGGAAAUAAUGACUAUUUACUUAAGCAGGAUGUAUCUAUAGUUUUUCUUUGGUAAUUUUCUUACAAAACAAAUCCUCUCUUAUUAACAGUGCUGGGCAAAGGUUCCAAGAAUAAGACCAAGUGGGUAGCUUUUCCUAUUUUUAUUUCCUGAGAUAUGACAGAUGGUGUAACAUAAACACUUGCUCUCUCAGAGGAUGUAAUUUGGAAAGCCUUCCAUUAAAAUUGGAACCAUGCACCAGAGAAUAACUGACCUUGGAUGUAACCACCCUUACAACACACAUAGCUCAUCCUUCUCCUCUCCUCCCAACUGCAUGGUUGCUAGGCACCUCCAUCAGCUAACAUAAAGUCUCUGGAUUAUCAAUAUUAGAUUUUUGUACAGUUUUUAUAUUUUUGACAUCAUUAAUGGGUCCCAUUGGGGGUAUGCAUGAUUUCUCAUUCAUACUAACAAAUACAGAGCUUCUACCAUCUAGCCCUUCAGCCUCAAGAAGCAAUAACCUUCUCCCUUAGUCAUCUCAGAGAAAGAUGGUGGGUAAUUGGGAAUCACCAUAGCUUCUAGACCACACACAGAGAAGAUGGGAGAGAGAGAGACAGAGAGACAGAGAGACAGAGACACAGAGAGACAUAGAGGCACAAAUGUACCAUAAAAGAGCCAAUCCUAAACUCUUCACACAGCUUUGCUUUGUGCUUUGAUUUUUUCCUCGGAAAUACUGGCAAAGGCCAGUGCCUGAUCCUGGCCUUACUAAUGCCUUUCACAUCUUGAGCAUCUGCUUUCUUUCCUAUGUCAUCUUAGGGCACAUCUUAUAAUAAUCUGUCAUGUUCAUGCUCUUUAGAACCUGGAGUACCUUCCUUUCCCAAGCUCCUCCUCAGUGCUGUCUGGCAGCUGCACUGGGUUAUUAUGCCAUAAAAUGUUACUUCCAUGCAAAGUCAUGUUCUCUACUGCACAAUAAGGAUUCUCUCCAGUCUUCCACUUUGGCUUCAUCCUUGAUGCAUUCUAUAAAUGGGCAAUUUCCCUUCUAUCUACUUAUUCAUGGAAGAACACAGCCCAAAUUGAUGACAGAUUUUAUCUGUGGUCAAGGAGAAUGAUGUAAAUUGAGAAAAAUCCUGGAAUUAUGGUUUAGAUGAUUUCUGAUUGGCCUCACUUUAAAAAGCAGAUGAUUGUAAGCACUAAUUUUGUAAUUGAAUUGUUUUCUCAAUUUGAAGUCCUGCAGGUUGCUUUUGGUUUAGGUUAUCUGCUUCCUGUGCCCUGGUCACAAUGAUCUCUGGUUUUUUUCUUAGUCUCUGUGCUGCCAUAUAAAGUUGGAUAUUGCCUUCUCCACCCUAAAGCAGUAUUCCAGCGCACUUCCUUUAGGUCAAGAAAUUAUAUAGGUAAAUAUACAUUUAUAUACAAUUUGAACCUUGCCUUUUAGAUAUGAACAUAUUGACCUUACUCUUGUUCAAAUAUAUUGCAAACCUGCCCAGCCUUUAUGAUAGUAAUUCCAUAUUUUUUUCCAGCACUUCAGAAUCUACAAAGCACCAUUUUCCCCUUUGAGCUCCCAAAAUAGUCCCCUGAGGUAAGCAGCCAUUUUCGCUACUUUCAUCUCUUUCCAUUACAGCAAAUGACUCCUUUCCUGGUGAGCUGCUAUUGUGGCAGAAAAAGAGGAUCAAUCACUCUUGGCCUCUCAGAUCCCUCCUUCCCCGUUACACAUACUCUAGGGCAAUAUGCAUGUGUGAUAAUAAUAAUAAUAACAAUAAUAAUAAUAAUAACAAUAGAAAUCAGGUUACCAUUGUAAGUUGACAGUAUCUACUAAUGAACCCAUUUAUGUCAAGGACAAUACAGUAAAUAGUGUUUUCGCAAUGAUAUCUGAACUGAAUUAAGAGUGGGUCAACUAUUUUCCCCAAGGAGAAGCUAUUUAUAGUUUUGUGAUUAAAAGGCAGGAAACAGUAUUGACAAUAGCUUUCUGAUUUCGCUGCUUUCUAAAUCUUUUCCCUUCAAAUUCACUUGUUAUGUGUCAAGGUAUUUAUAAAACACAGCCUUGGUUUCAAAAUAUUGUCCUGAUUCAAAGCCUUUGUCAAGUCACCAUUCCUAAUACAUUCCUUAGCAAUACAGAUUCUUUUAAAGCACUUUUAUUUUUAAUUAUCUGUUUAUGUGUGUACAUUGUGUGUGUGUGUGUGUGUGUGUGUGUGUAUGUGUGUGUGUGUGUGUGUGUAGGUGUUCAUGUGAGAACAUAUAUAGUCAUUUAUAAUAUAUGCACCCUGCCUGUCUAAAUCCACCUGCCUCUAUGUCCCAAGGACUCCAUGUCCCAGCUGUCAAAGUAACAGACAGCUCUGAACUGGCCAGGCACUACCACCCCUCUAGGAAUCUGUUCUUCCUGCACCCACUGAGAGUGCACAUGGACACCUCUCUACAGAACUUCCAUUUCCCUUCAUUAUAGAGUGGAAAUGUCUCUCUAAUGUACCUCAAACCAAAGUUAGUACUCUGCCUCUGCUGAAUCCCUGAGUCCUUGACUCAGAUAAAUAUAGAAAUUGCCACAGGGAACCUUGAUUUACUUCUUUGGUAGCCCAUGAAAUUUUGAAGAGCCCAACAUAUUGUGUUUAUGCCUGUGACUUGAGAGGUUAACACAGAGUCUAUUACACAGUUAAUAUCCAGUGUUCCUUUUAUUGAUGAAUGAAUUAGUCCUUCUUACAAUGACUGUUUUGUGUGCCGAAAGAAAAAACCAUUCUCUUGGCUCUUCUUAUGUCCCUGAGAGGAUGUAACUUGUGUGCAGUUGUUCAACUCUUUUUUUUUUUUUUUUAGAUUUAUUUAUUUAUUAUAUGUAAGUACACUGUAGCUGACUUCAAACACACCAGAAGAGGGCAUCAGAUCUCAUUAUGGAUGGUUGUGGGCCACCAUGUGGUUGCUGGGAUUUGAAUUCAGAACCUUUGGAAGAGCAGUCAAGUGCUCUUACCCACUGAGCUAUCUCAUCAGCCCAGUUGUUCAACUCUUGUAGAAUUGUUUUGACCAACUCAUCUCCUGGCCAUAUUUACUGUUUUAUAGUAAACAAUAACUAUCACAUUGUUCAUCAUUUUCUUUCUUAAGGGCAAUCUUCAUUAGCUUUUCUCAUUUUUCUCUUAAGUGUUCAGUCAUUUAUCCAGUAAUUACUGAUGAUAAACAGACGAUCAUAUUUGGUACAACUAAAUUCAGUCCCCCCACAGUCUUGGACAUGUGUAGGCAUGAAGGAAAUACAGGAGGACAAAUAGGAACUUAUGAAUUAUUGUAGGCAGAAAUAGAAUAUACGAUACAAGUAGGAGGAAAGGACCCAAGGGGCAUUGUCAGAAAAUAGUUCUAAGGGAAACAAACCCCGUGAGAAUAAACCCACAAGCGGCCUCCAGCAAACUGCACAGUGCAACUUUCUCAUGCUCUUAUCCCAGUAUAUGAACCUUGCUUUUUUAGCCUAUGGCAGAGGGAAUGAAUCGCUUAAUCCAAACUCAUUCUUUUUUAAAAAUAAAGACAUUUAUUUUUAUGAGUACUGUAUCUGCAUAUACACCUAUAUGCCAGAAGAGGGCAUCAGAUAGAUGGUUGUGAGCCACCAUGUAGUUGCUGGGAAUUGAACCCAGGACCUCUGGAAGAGCAGCCAGUGCCCUUAACCACUGAAUGAGUCAUCUCUCUAGCCCCCAAACACAUCCUUAAUGCUAAGGCCUAAAUGUCUGUGUUGACUCAGAUAUUAAUGUAAUGAUAUCUUUAUUUCCUUCAAGGUGACAGAUUUAGGAAGCGGGGUCUUUGCUGUGAGAUCAGUUCGUCACAGAGAAGCCCACAUGAAUAGACUUAGCACCUAUAGAGGAGGCUCAAGAGAAGCAUCGAGUCUGUUGCUCUGGGAAGACAAACCAUCUGGCACUAUCUAACAGAAAGCAGGACCCUUGCCAGGAAACUAAUCAGCCAAUUUCCUGAUCUCAGAUGGUUCAGCUUUCAGAAUGGGGAGAAAUAAGUAUCUGCUGCUUAACACAGAAAUGAGGUCUGAUUUCCAGGAGCCAACUUGAACUGUGAGACAGGGACAGAGAGUCCUUGACACUGAGUGAUGAAGUGAUAUAUCUGAAGUUUUAGACAGCGACAUGGUGUGUGGUGGUGGCUCUCCCAGAAUAACUGUGAAGCUGAAACAGGAGGUCCACCACAAGUUUGAGGCCAACAUGGACUGCAAAAUGAGCUGGAAACCAGCCUGAUACACAGAGUAAUAACUUCUCUCAAAACAGCAAGAAAGACAAACUAAAAACCGAACAUGUAAACCAAGUCAUUUCACAA
Molecule: long non-coding RNA, 9703 nt
Organism: Mus musculus (house mouse)
Lineage: Eukaryota; Metazoa; Chordata; Mammalia; Rodentia; Muridae
Product: predicted gene, 54015
Exons: 3
Source: RefSeq, a predicted model, not a curated record